RNAcentral lists this ribosomal RNA (459 nucleotides) under uncultured bacterium. RNAcentral's name for it is "partial 16S ribosomal RNA". It matches the Rfam family "Bacterial small subunit ribosomal RNA", at positions 338 to 795 of the family's 1533-position model. The record is from RNAcentral.
CCUACGGGCGGCAGCAGUGAGGAAUAUUGGUCAAUGGGCGGAAGCCUGAACCAGCCAAGUAGCGUGCGGGAUGAAGGCCCUACGGGUCGUAAACCGCGUUUGCACGGGGAAAACACCCUCCACUUGUGGAGGUCUGCAGUUACCGUACGAAUAAGGGCCGGCUAAUUCCGUGCCAGCAGCCGCGGUAAUACGGAAGGCCCGGGCGUUAUCCGGAUUCAUUGGGCUUAAAGGGAGCGUAGGCGGGCGUUAAAUUCAGCUGUAAAAUCACGCGGACAAACCGCGCCCCGCAGUUGAAACUGGACGCCUUGAGUUCACAACAGGCAGGCGGAAUUCGUGGUGUAGCGGUGAAAUGCAUAGAUAUCACGAGGAACCCCGAUGGCGAAGGCAGCCUGCCGGGGUGCGACUGACGCUGAGGCUCGAAGGUGUGGGUAUCAAACAGGAUUAGAUACCCGAGUAGUC